GGUAAACUAAAUUCAGAUCACACUUGUAUGAGAUGCGUUACACACUUACACUAGUAGCCUAGAGCAGUUUUAGUAACUCGUGGUUGGUGCCUUGGUGCUGCUGGAUCUUCAAUAUAUUUAUAUGGUUUAAGGUUCCAAUAUUUAUCUUGAGAUAACCCCCUUUUUUUCCUUCUACUUUGCAGUUCUGCAUUGGUACCAUAAAAGAUGAUUUCUUGGGUGUGAUCAAUGAUCCUGCGACAGCUUAAAUGCACCCUUCUGUACCCUUCAUCGUAUAUAGUUUGCAUGGCAAGGAUGAUGAUGCACAUGGAAUCUUUCAAUUAUCUUGGUGUAGCAUUUGCUGAACGCACUAGUUCUCAGUGAAUUACUCGACUACUGUAUCGAAUUUCCUGCUAACUGUUCGGGCUUAGUAAAUUACUAAUUAAAUGUUAGAAUGUAGAGCUAAAUCUUAAAAACGUGACAUGAAAACCAGCACUUGUUAUGUGUAGAACGACUGCAUUUUAUAAUUAUUGAAUGACUAUAUUGUUGGCACUUUUUCUUUUUUGUAAUUACGGAACUGAAUUCUUGGCC
RNAcentral lists this long non-coding RNA (567 nucleotides) under Arachis ipaensis. Its description in RNAcentral is "long non-coding RNA (AIPA_LNC000777)". Lineage: Eukaryota; Viridiplantae; Streptophyta; Magnoliopsida; Fabales; Fabaceae. The record is from RNAcentral.